Molecule: long non-coding RNA, 935 nt
Filed under: Serinus canaria (Common canary)
Lineage: Eukaryota; Metazoa; Chordata; Aves; Passeriformes; Fringillidae
Description: lncRNA (ENSSCAG00000011794.1)
Source: RNAcentral
CUGAGGUGGUGGAGAGGUCGUUGAGGGGGAUGUGGUGGCCUUGGGCAUUUGUGAGGGGCUGAGGUCCUGGAGAGGUCACACUGAGGGGGAUGUGGUGGCCUUGGGCAUUUGUGAGGGGCUGAGGUCCUGGAGAGGUCACUCUGAGGGGGAUGUGGUGGCACUGGACACUUGUGAGGGGCUGAGGUCCUGGAGAGGUCACUCUGAGGUGGCACUGGGCACUGGUGAGGGGCUGAGGUCCUGGAGAGGUCACUCUGAGGGGAUGUGGUGGCACUGGGCACUUGUGAGGGGCUGAGGUGUGGACAGGUCACUCUGAGGGGAUGUGGUGGCCCUGGACCCUCGUGAGGGGAUGGAAGGGCUGAGGAUAAAGCCCGGCCUGAAUCAACGUGUUCUGGGCUGAAAAGAUGGAGACUGGAAAACAUCCUUGUCCUGGGAAAAAAACAAAUCCAGAGAACACAGGAGUCACCACCACUUCUGCAGAGAGACUGAAUUAAUCUCGUUUUUGAGUAGAACAAACUCUUCAGACCAAAGAAUCAGAAGCUGGAAUUCACCAGAAGAGAAGAAACACCAACAAAAUGAUAUUUUCCAAGACAUUUUCUGCUUGCAGGAGUUGAAGAGGUGCAGGGUUAAAUCCAAUUUAAAAAAAUUGGGAGUGAGUUUUUCCAGUGCAGCUGGGCCAUUUCUCCUGAGCUACCACGAGAGGGACACAGGAGGAAAGCAAAAGGAGCUGGGAGAGGAAGAACCCAAGGAAGAGCUCGAGGUUUAAUUGGGGAUAAAUAUUCCCAGAACGAGUCAAGGGGAUGUAACUCCAUGAAGGAAAAGGAGGAGAAGAUUUGGGGCAAAAUCCAGGGAUUUUGGAUGAAGAAAAUUCUCAGAAAUUAAUGGUGAGUGGCAUUAAAAGAUAGCAAAUAAUAAAAGAUAAAUAAUCAAAGAUAACA